Mustela erminea (ermine) is the source of this 315-nucleotide long non-coding RNA. RefSeq lists it as uncharacterized. The transcript is spliced from 4 exons. The record is from RefSeq and is a predicted model, not a curated record. Lineage: Eukaryota; Metazoa; Chordata; Mammalia; Carnivora; Mustelidae.
AGGUGUUAAGCCCAAGAGUGAUCCUUAAUGAGCCACGAGCUGAUUUCCAUCUCAAAGGAGAAAAUUGCUUCAAAAAGCCCAUUUCAUUCUUCAAGACUAUUAUUACGGACCCAAACAUUAAAAUGCCGGAGAGCUGGUGAAGCCAUAAAGGAAAGGUCAGCCGGCGCGACGCUGACUUAGUCAAAGACAGUAUUUCCAGGAGGACAAGAACAUGUGAUGAUCAGCUCAGCUUCUCCAGGUCUGCUUUUCUCUUUCUCAUCAGGAACAUGGAGAUCCGCUUACUGAAGUGUUAGGAAAAAGUGGCAACAUGAGACU